GGCCUUAUGGUGUAACGGUAAGCACUGCUGCUGCAUCUACUUGCACUCUGCGCAAUGUCGGUUUAAGCAGCCGGGUUGGGUUCGAUUCCCAAUGGGGCCC
Non-coding RNA from Mycena leptocephala, 100 nucleotides. Lineage: Eukaryota; Fungi; Basidiomycota; Agaricomycetes; Agaricales; Mycenaceae. The record is from the annotation of a GenBank genome assembly.